AGAUCAUUGACAUGUCCUUGCGAAGAACAAAAUGACCAUAGAACGAACAACAAACUACUAAGAUUAUGUUAUAUAUAAUUGAAAACCAACCAUAAAAUAUGAGGAUAUGCAUGCUCUAUAUAAAUAACCUUCUUACUAUCUUCAUCAGAAGUUCUAUAUUAAACUCAAGCACAUAAACUACUGAAAAUUUUGGAACUUCAUGUCAAACAAUACCAACAUAUCUA
This 224-nucleotide unclassified non-coding RNA is filed under the name Hevea brasiliensis (rubber tree). The record is from RNAcentral. Lineage: Eukaryota; Viridiplantae; Streptophyta; Magnoliopsida; Malpighiales; Euphorbiaceae.